UGUGAGGCUGACACACAAAUUGGGCUGAAGUACUGCUCUACUUGUCACCAUACUUCCCUAGAAUAAACUGCCUUUUAAUGACUGAGAUGAAUUACGUGAAAUCAUACUGGACAGAUAUAGGGCAGGUUUUU
RNAcentral lists this small nucleolar RNA (131 nucleotides) under Microcebus murinus (gray mouse lemur). RNAcentral describes it as "Small Cajal body specific RNA 8 (ENSMICG00000029018.2)". It matches the Rfam family "Small Cajal body specific RNA 8". Rfam says of the family: scaRNAs are a specific class of small nuclear RNAs which localise to the Cajal bodies and guide the modification of RNA polymerase II transcribed spliceosomal RNAs U1, U2, U4, U5 and U12. U92 belong to the H/ACA box class of guide RNAs as it has the predicted hairpin-hinge-hairpin-tail structure, conserved H/ACA-box motifs and is found associated with GAR1. The record is from Rfam by way of RNAcentral. Lineage: Eukaryota; Metazoa; Chordata; Mammalia; Primates; Cheirogaleidae.